This 504-nucleotide long non-coding RNA is filed under the name Homo sapiens (human). RNAcentral's name for it is "HSALNT0408915". The record is from RNAcentral. Lineage: Eukaryota; Metazoa; Chordata; Mammalia; Primates; Hominidae.
AGACCUUACCCCAGAGUUACCACACAAUGCAUGCUGUGUCCCUGCAUCACCAAAAUACAACUCAAACUCCUCAGACACACUCUGAUAAAUAGACAUACCUGACAAUGUACAGCUUGGCAUCAUAGCAGGAAAAACUGGCUCUACAACAGAUUUAUUCUACAACAGACACACUCAGGCUGUAGAGACACCUAAUCUUUCUUUAAGGUAUUCAGACCCACCCUUUUGGGCACAGUCACAGAUGUGAUCCAGGAUACCCUCACCCAUCCCACAAUACUGAUGCAACCCACAGCGUACAAACACAUCCCACAGCAUAACACUCUAAGCCCACAGUGCUCAGAAAUGUCAGGCACACAUUUGCCAUACAGAUUUACUUCACACACAAAAAACACAGCCAGGUGGGUGGCUCAUGCCUGUAAUCCCAGCACUUUGGGAGUCCGAGGCGGGCGGAUCACAAGGUCAGGGGUUCAGGACCAGCCUGUCCAACAUGGUGAAACCCCGUCUCUA